GAUGAACGCUGACAGAAUGCUUAACACAUGCAAGUCGAUUCAAUUUACCUUCGGGUAAUGAGGACGGCGGACGGGUGAGUAACGCUUAAGGAACUUACCUCUUGGUCUGGGACAACUGUUGGAAACGACAGCUAAUACCGGAUAUUAUGAUAUUCUCGCAUGGGAAACUUAUGAACGCUAUAUGCGCCAAGAGCGAGCCUUGCGUUCCAUUAGCUAGUAGGUGGGGUAACGGCCCGCCAAGGCGACGAUGGAUAGCCGACCUGAGAGGGGGAACGGCCACAAGGGGACUGAGACACGGCCCUUACUCCUACGGGAGGCAGCAGUGGGGAAUAUUGGACAAUGGGCCACAAGCCUGAUCCAGCAAUUCUGUGUGCACGAUGAAGGUCUUCGGAUUGUAAAGUGCUUUCAGUUGGGAAGAAGAAAGUGACGGUACCAACAGAAGAAGCGACGGCUAAAUACGUGCCAGCAGCCGCGGUAA
RNAcentral lists this ribosomal RNA (478 nucleotides) under uncultured bacterium. RNAcentral's name for it is "partial 16S ribosomal RNA". It matches the Rfam family "Bacterial small subunit ribosomal RNA", at positions 28 to 523 of the family's 1533-position model. The record is from RNAcentral.